AUCCUACGGGACGCAGCAGUGAGGAAUAUUGGUCAAUGGCCGCAGGGCUGAACCAGCCAAGUCGCGUGAGGGAUGACGGUACUAUGGAUUGUAAAACUCUUUUGUCAGGGAGCAAAGGGCGCCACGUGUGGCGUUUUGCGAGUACCUGAAGAAAAAGCAUCGGCUAACUCCGUGCCAGCAGCCGCGGUAAUACGGAGGAUGCGAGCGUUAUCCGGAUUUAUUGGGUUUAAAGGGUGCGCAGGCGGAAUGUACAGUCAGCGGU
This 262-nucleotide ribosomal RNA is filed under the name uncultured bacterium. Its description in RNAcentral is "partial 16S ribosomal RNA". It matches the Rfam family "Bacterial small subunit ribosomal RNA", at positions 335 to 595 of the family's 1533-position model. The record is from RNAcentral.